GAGGAUAUAGCUCAGUUGUAGAGAGCUUGCCUAGCAUGCAUGAGACCCUGGUUUCAAACCCCAAUAUCAUGA
Molecule: transfer RNA, 72 nt
Filed under: Marmota marmota marmota (Alpine marmot)
Lineage: Eukaryota; Metazoa; Chordata; Mammalia; Rodentia; Sciuridae
Also listed under: 1 other name
Rfam family: tRNA
About the family: Transfer RNA (tRNA) molecules are approximately 80 nucleotides in length. Their secondary structure includes four short double-helical elements and three loops (D, anti-codon, and T loops). Further hydrogen bonds mediate the characteristic L-shaped molecular structure. tRNAs have two regions of fundamental functional importance: the anti-codon, which is responsible for specific mRNA codon recognition, and the 3' end, to which the tRNAs corresponding amino acid is attached (by aminoacyl-tRNA synthetases). tRNAs cope with the degeneracy of the genetic code in two manners: having more than one tRNA (with a specific anti-codon) for a particular amino acid; and 'wobble' base-pairing, i.e. permitting non-standard base-pairing at the 3rd anti-codon position.
Source: Rfam by way of RNAcentral